Molecule: ribosomal RNA, 408 nt
Filed under: uncultured bacterium
Lineage: Bacteria
Description: partial 16S ribosomal RNA
Rfam family: Bacterial small subunit ribosomal RNA
Source: RNAcentral
GACGAACGCUGGCGGCGUGCUUAACACAUGCAAGUCGAACGAAGUGGCGAACGGGUGAGUAACGCGUAAUCAACCUGCCCUUCAGCGGGGGACAACAGUAGGAAACGACUGCUACUACAGCAUACUGAAGGAGGGGAUUGCGGCUGAUUAGCUAGUUGGAGGGGUAACGGCCCACCACGGCGCUGAGCAGUAGCAGGUGUGAGAGGAUGAACGGCCACAUUGGGACUGAGACAAGGCCCAGACUCCGACGGGAGGCAGCAGUGGGGAAUCGUCCGCAAUGGACGAAAGUCUGACGGAGCAACGCCGCGUGAGUGAUGACGGCCUGCGGGUUGUAAAGCUCUGUUAAUCGGGACGCGGUACCGGAAUAGAAAGCCACGGCUAACUACGUGCCAGCAGCCGCGGUAAUAC